CAGGGAUACAAUGAAGGGGAUCAUCUGAGUGCUGCUCUUUCUGCGCCUGCUCUCUACACAGUUAAGGAUCCAGUCUGCUCAUUUGUGCAAAGACACUCUGGAGACUGUGCCAAGCAGCAAGGAACCAGACCUGAACAAUGUUUAGGGCACUCCUGAGCACACUCUGAGGUCAAGGUAGAAGAUAUAAGUACAUUUAACCUCUUCCUCCCCUGCAGCCCUGUCAAGUAUUCCUAGUGCAUAGAGGGCACAGGUUUUUCAGAUAAACAAGAUACAAGAGUGUACCUAUCCUACAUGUAGAUGGGCGUUGUGGAAGCCCCACCAUCAUGGGUUCAUUAUAAUUAAUUAUAACAGCCUCACAAUCCACAGAACUGUG
Passer domesticus (house sparrow) is the source of this 373-nucleotide long non-coding RNA. RefSeq lists it as uncharacterized. The transcript is spliced from 3 exons. Lineage: Eukaryota; Metazoa; Chordata; Aves; Passeriformes; Passeridae. The record is from RefSeq and is a predicted model, not a curated record.